GCUCCCUUCGUCUAGCGGUCAGGACGUUGCCCUCUCACGGCGAAAACAGGGGUUCGAUUCCCCUAGGGAGCG
This 72-nucleotide transfer RNA is filed under the name Gammaproteobacteria bacterium. RNAcentral describes it as "tRNA-Glu". It matches the Rfam family "tRNA". Rfam says of the family: Transfer RNA (tRNA) molecules are approximately 80 nucleotides in length. Their secondary structure includes four short double-helical elements and three loops (D, anti-codon, and T loops). Lineage: Bacteria; Pseudomonadati; Pseudomonadota; Gammaproteobacteria. RNAcentral also lists the same sequence under 1 other name. The record is from RNAcentral.